UGGAGUUUAGCUCAGUUUUGGUAGAGCAUUCAAUUUACACUUGAUAGGUCAAAGGUUCGAUCCCUUUAACUCCAA
Molecule: transfer RNA, 75 nt
Filed under: Urnula craterium
Lineage: Eukaryota; Fungi; Ascomycota; Pezizomycetes; Pezizales; Sarcosomataceae
Description: tRNA-Val
Rfam family: tRNA
About the family: Transfer RNA (tRNA) molecules are approximately 80 nucleotides in length. Their secondary structure includes four short double-helical elements and three loops (D, anti-codon, and T loops).
Source: RNAcentral